UACGUAGGGGGCAAGCGUUGUCCGGAAUUAUUGGGCGUAAAGAGCGUGUAGGCGGUCCGGUAAGUCCGCUGUGAAAGUCCAGGGCUCAACCCUGGAAGGCCGGUGGAAACUGUCGGGCUAGAGUCCGGAAGAGGCGAGUGGAAUUCCCGGUGUAGCGGUGAAAUGCGCAGAUAUCGGGAGGAACACCAAUGGCGAAGGCAGCUCGCUGGGACGGUACUGACGCUGAGACGCGAAAGCGUGGGGAGCAAACAGGG
This 254-nucleotide ribosomal RNA is filed under the name uncultured bacterium. RNAcentral describes it as "partial 16S ribosomal RNA". It matches the Rfam family "Bacterial small subunit ribosomal RNA", at positions 524 to 777 of the family's 1533-position model. The record is from RNAcentral.